UUACUGAGAGGUUGAGUUGUGGAGAAGAACAAAUCAGACUGGGAACGAUUCCAGGCCUGGAGAGAUGUUUAUGGGGCCUGAAAAGACUAUUAUUCCAUGGACUGACUUGUUAUUCCCCAGUUUAUUACCAGU
Long non-coding RNA from Neopelma chrysocephalum (saffron-crested tyrant-manakin), 132 nucleotides. RefSeq lists it as uncharacterized. NCBI's taxonomy places the organism in Eukaryota, Metazoa, Chordata, Aves, Passeriformes, Pipridae. The transcript is spliced from 4 exons. The record is from RefSeq and is a predicted model, not a curated record.